Molecule: ribosomal RNA, 2649 nt
Filed under: Shigella sonnei
Lineage: Bacteria; Pseudomonadati; Pseudomonadota; Gammaproteobacteria; Enterobacterales; Enterobacteriaceae
Description: bacterial LSU rRNA
Rfam family: Bacterial large subunit ribosomal RNA
Source: RNAcentral
ACGGGGAGCAGCCCAGAGCCUGAAUCAGUGUGUGUGUUAGUGGAAGCGUCUGGAAAGGCGUGCGAUACAGGGUGACAGCCCCGUACACAAAAAUGCACAUAUUGUGAGCUUGAUGAGUAGGGCGGGACACGUGGUAUCCUGUCUGAAUAUGGGGGGCCCAUCCUCCAAGGCUAAAUACUCCUGACUGACCGAUAGUGAACCAGUACCGUGAGGGAAAGGCGAAAAGAACCCCGGCGAGGGGAGUGAAAAAGAACCUGAAACCGUGUACGUACAAGCAGUGGGAGCACGCUUAGGCGUGUGACUGCGUACCUUUUGUAUAAUGGGUCAGCGACUUAUAUUCUGUAGCAAGGUUAACCGAAUAGGGGAGCCGAAGGGAAACCGAGUCUUAACUGGGCGUUAAGUUGCAGGGUAUAGACCCGAAACCCGGUGAUCUAGCCAUGGGCAGGUUGAAGGUUGGGUAACACUAACUGGAGGACCGAACCGACUAAUGUUGAAAAAUUAGCGGAUGACUUGUGGCUGGGGGUGAAAGGCCAAUCAAACCGGGAGAUAGCUGGUUCUCCCCGAAAGCUAUUUAGGUAGCGCCUCGUGAAUUCAUCUCCGGGGGUAGAGCACUGUUUCGGCAAGGGGGUCAUCCCGACUUACCAACCCGAUGCAAACUGCGAAUACCGGAGAAUGUUAUCACGGGAGACACACGGCGGGUGCUAACGUCCGUCGUGAAGAGGGAAACAACCCAGACCGCCAGCUAAGGUCCCAAAGUCAUGGUUAAGUGGGAAACGAUGUGGGAAGGCCCAGACAGCCAGGAUGUUGGCUUAGAAGCAGCCAUCAUUUAAAGAAAGCGUAAUAGCUCACUGGUCGAGUCGGCCUGCGCGGAAGAUGUAACGGGGCUAAACCAUGCACCGAAGCUGCGGCAGCGACGCUUAUGCGUUGUUGGGUAGGGGAGCGUUCUGUAAGCCUGCGAAGGUGUGCUGUGAGGCAUGCUGGAGGUAUCAGAAGUGCGAAUGCUGACAUAAGUAACGAUAAAGCGGGUGAAAAGCCCGCUCGCCGGAAGACCAAGGGUUCCUGUCCAACGUUAAUCGGGGCAGGGUGAGUCGACCCCUAAGGCGAGGCCGAAAGGCGUAGUCGAUGGGAAACAGGUUAAUAUUCCUGUACUUGGUGUUACUGCGAAGGGGGGACGGAGAAGGCUAUGUUGGCCGGGCGACGGUUGUCCCGGUUUAAGCGUGUAGGCUGGUUUUCCAGGCAAAUCCGGAAAAUCAAGGCUGAGGCGUGAUGACGAGGCACUACGGUGCUGAAGCAACAAAUGCCCUGCUUCCAGGAAAAGCCUCUAAGCAUCAGGUAACAUCAAAUCGUACCCCAAACCGACACAGGUGGUCAGGUAGAGAAUACCAAGGCGCUUGAGAGAACUCGGGUGAAGGAACUAGGCAAAAUGGUGCCGUAACUUCGGGAGAAGGCACGCUGAUAUGUAGGUGAAGUCCCUUGCGGAUGGAGCUGAAAUCAGUCGAAGAUACCAGCUGGCUGCAACUGUUUAUUAAAAACACAGCACUGUGCAAACACGAAAGUGGACGUAUACGGUGUGACGCCUGCCCGGUGCCGGAAGGUUAAUUGAUGGGGUCAGCGCAAGCGAAGCUCUUGAUCGAAGCCCCGGUAAACGGCGGCCGUAACUAUAACGGUCCUAAGGUAGCGAAAUUCCUUGUCGGGUAAGUUCCGACCUGCACGAAUGGCGUAAUGAUGGCCAGGCUGUCUCCACCCGAGACUCAGUGAAAUUGAACUCGCUGUGAAGAUGCAGUGUACCCGCGGCAAGACGGAAAGACCCCGUGAACCUUUACUAUAGCUUGACACUGAACAUUGAGCCUUGAUGUGUAGGAUAGGUGGGAGGCUUUGAAGUGUGGACGCCAGUCUGCAUGGAGCCGGCCUUGAAAUACCACCCUUUAAUGUUUGAUGUUCUAACGUGGACCCGUGAUCCGGGUUGCGGACAGUGUCUGGUGGGUAGUUUGACUGGGGCGGUCUCCUCCUAAAGAGUAACGGAGGAGCACGAAGGUUGGCUAAUCCUGGUCGGACAUCAGGAGGUUAGUGCAAUGGCAUAAGCCAGCUUGACUGCGAGCGUGACGGCGCGAGCAGGUGCGAAAGCAGGUCAUAGUGAUCCGGUGGUUCUGAAUGGAAGGGCCAUCGCUCAACGGAUAAAAGGUACUCCGGGGAUAACAGGCUGAUACCGCCCAAGAGUUCAUAUCGACGGCGGUGUUUGGCACCUCGAUGUCGGCUCAUCACAUCCUGGGGCUGAAGUAGGUCCCAAGGGUAUGGCUGUUCGCCAUUUAAAGUGGUACGCGAGCUGGGUUUAGAACGUCGUGAGACAGUUCGGUCCCUAUCUGCCGUGGGCGCUGGAGAACUGAGGGGGGCUGCUCCUAGUACGAGAGGACCGGAGUGGACGCAUCACUGGUGUUCGGGUUGUCAUGCCAAUGGCACUGCCCGGUAGCUAAAUGCGGAAGAGAUAAGUGCUGAAAGCAUCUAAGCACGAAACUUGCCCCGAGAUGAGUUCUCCCUGACCCUUUAAGGGUCCUGAAGGAACGUUGAAGACGACGACGUUGAUAGGCCGGGUGUGUAAGCGCAGCGAUGCGUUGAGCUAACCGGUACUAAUGAACCGUGAGGCUUAACCUU